This is a non-coding RNA of Trametes versicolor FP-101664 SS1, 107 nucleotides long. The record is from the annotation of a RefSeq genome assembly. NCBI's taxonomy places the organism in Eukaryota, Fungi, Basidiomycota, Agaricomycetes, Polyporales, Polyporaceae.
GGCGAGAUGGCCGAGCGGUCUAAGGCGCCAGACUAAGGUGUAAGCGAUCCAACCUGUACCCCGGUAUCUGGUCCGAAAGGGCGUGGGUUCGAAUCCCACUCUCGUCA